Molecule: long non-coding RNA, 5388 nt
Organism: Oncorhynchus gorbuscha (pink salmon)
Lineage: Eukaryota; Metazoa; Chordata; Actinopteri; Salmoniformes; Salmonidae
Exons: 2
Source: RefSeq, a predicted model, not a curated record
CUGUACUUGACUUGUGCUAAACAAUAGCUGAGAUUAGUUCUUUGGGAGCAAUGCCAUUGAAUGCAUCUGAGGUCACCCCCAAUUGUCUUGUGUGCAACACAAUGUCCCCCUUCAGAUGCUCCGCAAAGUGUCCGUGACAACAACACAAUUAACCCCCUUGUCCCAACCAAUGGCAGAUGACACGGUUGUCGGCGUGGCAGCCUUUGUUCAGUAUGGGCUUCCAGGUCCUGUCCGUCCCUUGGUCUGAUCCCUGUAAGGAACCAGCCGGCAUCAGAGUAUGACCAAUACGACCCCCCCCCCCCCUCUCUCUAUACACGGUGGUCUGAUCUAUUUGGGACAGCUGUAGCCACUGAUUCAGUUUGGUUGAUGACCUCAAGAUUUCACUGCACAUCCCACUGAGAGCUAAGCGCAAGAGGCUAUGCUGUGCCUGCUGAGUGUAAGCUAAGAGAGAGUCCAGGCACAGACUAGGGCUGACUGCCUCUUGUUCCAUGGGAAACACUAGCAUCACAGAGGGCAAGACUGCCCUGGCAGUGGGCAAAACUUCCAUAGCCAGGGGCAAGACCACGGUCGCGAUGGGCAACACCUCCGUCUCCAGAGGAGUAACCACCACCUCCAUGGGGGACUCCACCAUCAGUAGGGAGAAGACCACAGUAGCUCUUGGCGGAGCUAGUUUCACCAGGGGAACCACCACCACCUCCUUCCGGAAGGCUCUGAUGCCAAAGCGCAGGACCACCUAGAAUAAAUGGACAGGAGCUCAGACGCCACGUCCACGACUCCCAAAGCAACCAGGACAUCAAAAAAAGACUUGACUGAAGAGGAGGAGUGGAAAGUCACCUUCCUGUCCAGAAAGACUAGCUUCACUAAGGGCAGGAUCUUGAUUCUGAAGACUAAGUACGCCAUCUCCUGGGGCAAGUCCUCUGUCUCGUGGAGCAGAACCACCGCUACCCUGGGAAAGAUCACUGUGACCAUGGGAAAGACCUCCGUGACACGAGACCAGACCACCAGCUCUCUGACCACUCUCACCUUCACCCAUGGAGAGAAGUCUGUGUCUGUGGUCAAAUCCAGCCUCACUAGGGGCAGACAAACUACACGGAACAUCUACUGGGAUUUCCACCUGUGAUUCUUGCAUACGGUUUCACUCAAAACAGAGGACUUUUAUCUGCUCAGUUUCAGCAGGUCAGUAGUAGCUUAAAUCCUGUCCAUUUGUAAUCAAUUAUUCCAUGUGUCUGAUCAAUGUGCAGCAUUCUGCAGCUCCAGUGUCAAUGAAGCAUUCAUGUUUUUGAAGAAAAACAUUGAGCAUGUCUUUCAAAAUGAAUCCCACGUGAUGAGGAUGUGUUACGGAUCUAACAGGCUUGAAAUCAGAUAUUCCGAUGCGUGACGGAGGAGAUGAGGUUGGUGGUGGGUUGGCAGGGAGGGAGACAGGAGGACACAGCUGUGUGUGGUGUAUGUGGAGACACUGGACAGAGCAUGUGUCAUCAUCAGUGUGCUGUUCAACAGAGAACCUCAACGGUAAUUCUCUGAGGCAAAAAUACAGUUUAAAUGUCCCCAUUUGUUAUAAAACAACAAUUGCAUGCUGAUUAAAUUGGUCUGUUUCAAGGUUGAACGCAUUACAAUAACUAUGCUAUGUUCAGUUUACAAGGACGGUCUUAAACUGGGAAAUGUGUCUGUCAUAACUGAUUGAUUGAUGUAACCUGAUGCUUAUAAAAUAACUGCUUCAACACGGUUUGACUUGAUUUUGUUUGUUUGCAAAUUUGACUUAUUAUAUAACAUACAAGUAGUAGGAAACAAAUGAUAUGUACUGUCCUGAAGUGGAAUAAUGAAUUAUUUUCAUACUAAAGGACAAGGACCAUAGACAAAUGGAAUAGAAGAUUAUCUGAUCCUCUCUAAAUGGAAUAAACUAUUUUAUGGACACAGACACUUGGAAAACUCCUAAGAGCCACACCCAUAUUGGAGACUGAAGCCACAUUGCACAUUUGAGACGAGAGGUCAUAGGUCAUUGAUGGAAAACAUGAACUUACGUCAACAUCCUUGCCUAUAUAAUAAUGUCUCACAUGAUAUGUUUCAUGAUGCACAUGUUCUAUACAGCUUCACACAGAACUAAGGACUUACAAUCAGGGGAUAUAGGCAACAAUGCCGCAGGAUCAAGUGAUGUCACCACAUAUUGUCCUCUGGGCAACAAUGUCUCCUUCAGCCGCGUCGUGGUGGUGAUGGGACAAUCGUUCCACUGUACCAAGCCCUCAGAUAGGCUACAGCCACCUACGGCUGCCUCUGUCCAAUCACAGGGACACAUGGGUGGUAUGUGGCCUUCCAGAGCCCACGUCUAUAAGCUCAACGAAGGCAUUAUUUGACACGGGGGUAGCACUAUCCACGCUUAGCAUUCUGGUCUACUCUGGACUCUCGUUACUGUUACUAUCACACCCAAGCUUUACUGAGCGGGGUGUGCUGCAUGAGCGUGCAAUGUGUCGCGCCGAGUGAACCCCAAAAUCCACCACCUCAGCAGGGUCAGGAAUUCAACCUUCUUCUCAAUGGGCAACACCAGCAUCACCGAGGGGAAGACGGCCCUCUCCCUGGGAAACACCACUAUCAAGAGGGGCAAGACCAAGCUCACUGUGGGCAACUCGUCUAUCACCAGGGGCAAGAAAACCACUUCUCUGGGCGCCUCCACCAUCGCCAGUGCCAAGACCAAGCUCACUAUGGGCAAUGCCUCCUUCAGCAGGGGCACCACCACCACCUCGUUUCGAAAAGCCUUUUUCGCCAAACGCAAGACCCUCUAGAUGAGAGGGGACAUCAUUGGGUGGAUGGACUGGUGGCUAACUCAACAAAACGUAAAGACAACAUACAACAACAACAUCACAGGGGACAUAAGGACAUCACUGCAACAUCUACACAGGCUGUAUCUAAACUGACUUCUAAAACACUGGAUUAUUUUGCUUUGGACCAUUUUACUGUUUUGAUCAAACAGGAUUUUAUCAAGGAAACAGGUUCAACGUGUUGGCACCAACAGUGUUCAUCCAGUCAUGGACCUCGUCAUGAGAGCUCUUAGGAGAGAAUGUGCAACAAAGUAAUAUAUCAACUGGCCUGUAACAAGAUUCCCUAGUGAUAGCUGUUUCUCCUUGUUUGGCCUCUUUUCAAUAAGGUAAAAUAGCAGCUAUUGGUACAGUCUGUUUCUCUCAGAUGAACCAAGUACAGAUGACACUCUGGUCCCGCCAUGUUUUAAAAACAUAUGUAGCACAUAGCAACAGCUAUACUGUUAUGUAAGACUUUUAUUUUAUUCUUGACAUUUUAUUCUCAUUCUGGCCAUGGUAAAUACUUUUAAAUGAAAGCCAGCUUAAGGCAUGUGCGGUAUCUCCUUCAAAAGUUAUUUUUUUCUCAGGACUUGAAAAGUUGAUGGUGCCAAGUUCCAACUGAGAUUUCUUCAGUAAUUUUCAAACACACAUCAAAUUAGUCCAUGAAUACAUGAGACUUUUCCACUUGGAGACUACCAGCUGGACCAUACUGUAUAUCUAUGACCUCUGCUGACUUAACUAUUGACCUAAGACCUUUGACCCAGGGAAGCAACAAUAGUUCCCUGUGAUGUUGAGAGUAUUUCCAGAUUUCCGUCACUGUACUGUCUAUUGCUGUGCAUGGAAAUCUCUGUCAUCAAAAUAAGUUGAGUCGAUGAAACAUGAUGUAAUGGGGAGCUCACUUUGACACAUUAGAUCACUGCAUUUUAGAAGUCACUAUAUCUUGGCUUUGGUGUCGAAAACAGGGCCAUCACAGAGUAGGUCUACUAGUAUUACUGAACCCUACUAUAUCAGUAUAGCACUACAACAACCAUGUUAAUGACUUGGAGGAAGAGCUUUGAAUGAGAGUGCGAUGCCACUUUGGCAAAAUCCAUUAUGAUCCCUGAUGACAAAUUGACAUGGGGAUGAAGCACUGGGUCCAGCAUUUCACCAAGGGUCAAUGACACAGUAAACAGAUUCAUGGGGAUGAAGCACUGGGUCCAGCAUUUCACCAAGGGUCAAUGACACAGUAAACAGAUUCAUGGGGAUGAGGCACUGGGUCCAGCAUUUCACCAAGGGUCAAUGACACAGUAAACAGAUUCAUGGGGAUGAAGCACUGGGUCCAGCAUUUCACCAAGGGUCAAUGACACAGUAAACAGAUUCAUGGGGAUGAAGCACUGGGUCCAGCAUUUCACCAAGGGUCAAUGACACAGUAAACAGAUUCAUGGGGAUGAAGCACUGGGUCCAGCAUUUCACCAAGGGUCAAUGACACAGUAAACAGAUUCAUGGGGAUGAAGCACUGGGUCCAGCAUUUCACCAAGGGUCAAUGACACAGUAAACAGAUUCAAAUUCAGUCAUCAAGAACAACUCUGUAUGAUAAUAGAACAUUCACAAAUAGGCCUCAAGACAAGGAUUUACUUCCAAAAAAUGAAAAAUAGGAAAUCCAAACAUGUUCAUCUGUGUGUGUCGAUGUCUGGUAAAUGUGUGUGUUGUGAUAGUGGAGGAAAUGUUUUGUAUUCAAAUAGAAAAUAUAUACACGUACACUCGUGUUAGAAGAAGGAUCAUGCUUGGACUGGUGUGCUAACUGAACACUAAUUUGGGCUUCGUUGGGAGGGAUGGCUAAUGAUCUGAAGAUAACUGUGUCCAUAUCAGUCAAACCUUUUUCAUGACUCUCUCCAUUACUCUUGGCAUUAGUCUGGAGCACAGAUCCACCCUCUAUUCUUUGCCCCAAGGCUGCCCUGCUGGUAGCUCUGCCUACACAAUGAGACACACACAACAUCAGCCUGACUCUAUGCACAGCCAGAGGUUCUGAGGUCACAAACAUUCACAACCUUUGUCAACUUGAACACCACCUGGGACAAGGGCUGUCAUUGGCUGACACAUGGAAGUGUUAUACACGUCUGUCUGGCAGGAAAAGAGGCCUCUAUGACUUACAGCCCAUCUUAGACUGCACAAUACAAAAGGUAGACUUGACAUCGACACAGAUGCUUUCAGAUAUUCAAAGCCUGGGGAAUAUAUGUACUACCCUUGCAUUAAACUUAAUUCAUAGCUCUCAUUGAAAAGUAAUUCAUGUCUUUCCCAGUGGAGACAACUGUAUGAUUAGCAUUACUGAUGAAAAACUGUUGUGAACAUUUUUUGUUUUGUUUUGUGUCCUGUGCCUGUGUCUUUAAAUGUAUUGGAUUAAAUGUCCUUGGCACGGUCAGUGUCUGAAAAAUGACCGAACUGCAACAAAUGUCUCUUUGUUCUCUCGCUAAUCCUUCCUGGAGUCUGAAGUCUGUGUCUUUGAAAACAUUAUUUUUGGUCAUGAUCCAUGUCUGUUCUAUGUGUUCUAUUACACUAUGUUCCACUAAAUGCAGACAGAACCCUUGACAGAGAGGUGCUGUAAUAAAAAAAGUGCUUGAUCGUG